UGAGAUCUGCAGUAAUCUGUAGCAAACCUUCUCCUGCUAGUCUCCCCACAUUGCCCUAAACUCCCUGCAGAUUCCCUCACUCACUGAUGCACUUGGGGCAGUUCACAGGAGCUAACCAACUAAAUGAACCAUGUGUCUUUGGGAAGUGGGAGAAAGCAUGAUAGUGGGCACGGAGUUCCAAAGCACAAAGAACUCUUCCCCGUCAAAAAUAUGCUGACAGUGGAAAUCAACCCUUAUUGUGGUUCAAUAUCGAAUGGGCAGCGGAUAUUUGAGAAGGUGUCACCUAAAGACAGUUCCUAUGGACACAAUCUGUUUCCAAAUUGAAAUAUUGCGCGUGGACUAUACUGGCCAGUGCUGGAAUUAGUGAUUUGUUUAUUGGAUGUCCCAAACAUGUUUUAAAAAGAACAUUAAGGGAAGUGUGGGGUAGAGACAGCUGCUGUGGUAAAGCUCACCUGGAGCACCAACAACUCAGCUUUGUGAUAGAAACAUUAAGCUGUCUGUGCUAAAGACUCCCAUGCAUUUCAAUACAGGGAGGUAUCGGGGAGAAUUCUUGUGUACAC
Amblyraja radiata (thorny skate) is the source of this 560-nucleotide long non-coding RNA. RefSeq lists it as uncharacterized. Lineage: Eukaryota; Metazoa; Chordata; Chondrichthyes; Rajiformes; Rajidae. The record is from RefSeq and is a predicted model, not a curated record. The transcript is spliced from 3 exons.